ACGAAAGUCUGACGGAGCAACGCCGCGUGAACGAUGAAGGCCUUCGGGUCGUAAAGUUCUGUUGUUAGGGAAGAACAAGUACCGUUCAAAUAGGGCGGUACCUUGACGGUACCUAACCAGAAAGCCACGGCUAACUACGUGCCAGCAGCCGCGGUAAUACGUAGGUGGCAAGCGUUGUCCGGAAUUAUUGGGCGUAAAGCGCGCGCAGGCGGUUUCUUAAGUCUGAUGUGAAAGCCCACGGCUCAACCGUGGAGGGUCAUUGGAAACUGGGGAACUUGAGUACAGAAGAGGAGAGUGGAAUUCCACAUGUAGCGGUGAAAUGCGUAGAUAUGUGGAGGAACACCAGUGGCGAAGGCGACUCUCUGGUCUGUAACUGACGCUGAGGCGCGAAAGCGUGGGGAGCAAACAGGAUUAGAUACCCUGGUAGUCCACGCCGUAAACGAUGAGUGCUAGGUGUUAGGGGUUUCGAUGCCCUUAGUGCCGAAGUUAACACAUUAAGCACUCCGCCUGGGGAGUACGACCGCAAGGUUGAAACUCAAAGGAAUUGACGGGGGCCCGCACAAGCAGUGGAGCAUGUGGUUUAAUUCGAAGCAACGCGAAGAACCUUACCAGGUCUUGACAUCCUUUGACCACUUGAGAGAUCAAGCUUUCCCCUUCGGGGGACAAAGUGACAGGUGGUGCAUGGUUGUCGUCAGCUCGUGUCGUGAGAUGUUGGGUUAAGUCCCGCAACGAGCGCAACCCUUGAUCUUAGUUGCCAGCAUUCAGUUGGGCACUCUAAGGUGACUGCCGGUGACAAACCGGAGGAAGGUGGGGAUGACGUCAAAUCAUCAUGCCCCUUAUGACCUGGGCUACACACGUGCUACAAUGGAUGGUACAAAGGGCAGCGAAACCGCGAGGUUAAGCAAAUCCCAUAAAGCCAUUCUCAGUUCGGAUUGUAGGCUGCAACUCGCCUGCAUGAAGCCGGAAUUGCUAGUAAUCGCGGAUCAGCAUGCCGCGGUGAAUACGUUCCCGGGCCUUGUACACACCGCCCGUCACACCACGAG
Molecule: ribosomal RNA, 1043 nt
Filed under: uncultured bacterium
Lineage: Bacteria
Description: bacterial SSU rRNA
Rfam family: Bacterial small subunit ribosomal RNA
Source: RNAcentral